RNAcentral lists this ribosomal RNA (426 nucleotides) under uncultured Actinomycetes bacterium. RNAcentral's name for it is "bacterial SSU rRNA". It matches the Rfam family "Bacterial small subunit ribosomal RNA", at positions 233 to 671 of the family's 1533-position model. The record is from RNAcentral. Lineage: Bacteria; Bacillati; Actinomycetota; Actinomycetes.
GCGGCCUAUCAGCUUGUUGGUGAGGUAAUGGCUCACCAAGGCAACGACGGGUAGCCGGCCUGAGAGGGCGACCGGCCACACUGGGACUGAGACACGGCCCAGACUCCUACGGGAGGCAGCAGUGGGGAAUAUUGGGCAAUGGAGGAAACUCUGACCCAGCGACGCCGCGUGCGGGAUGAAGGCCUUCGGGUUGUAAACCGCUUUUAGUAGGGAAGAAGCGAAAGUGACGGUACCUACAAAAGAAGCACCGGCUAACUAUGUGCCAGCAGCCGCGGUAAUACAUAGGGUGCAAGCGUUGUCCGGAAUUAUUGGGCGUAAAGAGCUCGUAGGUCGUUUGUUACGUCGGAUGUGAAAACCUGAGGCUCAACCUCAGGCCUGCAUUCGAUACGGGCAAACUAGAGUUUGGUAGGGGAGACUGGAAUUCCU